AUGAUUCUCGUGGAUUGGUUCUUCGACGCUCUGGCGUAUUUGGGGCUGUGGCAGAAGGAUGCCAAGAUCCUCUUCCUAGGCCUCGACAACGCAGGCAAGACCACCCUCCUCCAGAUGCUCAAGGACGAGAGACUGGCGCAGCACCAGCCGACGCAGCACCCGACGUCCGAGGAGCUGAGCAUCGGGAAGAUCAGGUUCAAGGCGUUCGACCUCGGCGGCCACGCGUUCGCGCGCCGUGUCUGGAAGGACUACUUCGCCAAGGUUGACGCCGUCGUGUACCUGGUGGACGCUGCCGAUCGCGAGCGUUUCAACGAGACGAAGCAGGAGCUGGACGCGCUCCUCUCGGCCGAGGCGCUCUUCAACGUGCCCUUCCUCGUGCUCGGCAACAAGAUCGACAUCGCAAGCGCAUUAUCUGAGCACGAAUUGCGCUACUAUCUCGGGCUGGAGUACCACACCACCGGCAAGGGCAACGUCGAUCUCUCCCACAACGGCAGGCGGCCCCUAGAGGUCUUCAUGUGCAGCGUGGUCCGGAAGAUGGGCUACGGCGAUGGCUUCAGAUGGAUGUCGCAGUACAUCAAAUAG
This 582-nucleotide ribosomal RNA is filed under the name Triticum aestivum (bread wheat). Its description in RNAcentral is "partial small subunit ribosomal RNA". The record is from RNAcentral. Lineage: Eukaryota; Viridiplantae; Streptophyta; Magnoliopsida; Poales; Poaceae.